GGGGCUGAACGGUAUCGACAGGAAAGAUUAUCGGUUAGUAAGCAUGCAGGGGGAUGAUUGGUUACUCCUUAAAAAUGACAAUCACAACUUAAUUGGCGAAAAUAACUUCGCACUAGCUGCCUAAUUUAGAAUUAGAUAGCUUAUUGGGUCGCCCGCUUGACGUCUGAUACACAGCGGUGCCACCCAUCAAAAAACUUCGGACUAGGAAAGGGAGAUACUUCGAUCUCGGACCGAAAUUAAGAAGAUAAGCUGAUGGCUGGUUGCUUGUACACCUGCCUGAUGUCGAAAAUCUGAGUAUGAGCUAAGCAUGUAGAAAGCUUUCAGUUGCUUUGUCUGGACCAGAGUUCGAAUCUCUGCAGCUCCACUA
Molecule: transfer-messenger RNA, 367 nt
Filed under: Saprospiraceae bacterium
Lineage: Bacteria; Pseudomonadati; Bacteroidota; Saprospiria; Saprospirales; Saprospiraceae
Rfam family: transfer-messenger RNA
About the family: Bacterial tmRNA, also known as 10Sa RNA or SsrA, is named for its dual tRNA and mRNA-like properties. Its role is to liberate the mRNA from a stalled ribosome. To accomplish this part of the tmRNA is used as a reading frame that ends in a translation stop signal.
Source: RNAcentral